UCAGACGAUGCGUCAUGCAUAUCAAUAAGCGGAGGAAAAGAAACUAACAAGGAUUCCCUCAGUAACGGCGAGUGAAGCGGGAAGAGCUCAAAUUUGAAAUCUUCAAGGGUUCUACCUUUACGAAUUGUAGUUUAAAGAAGUGUUUUCUGUUAGAGUUUCGGUAAAAGUUCUUUGGAAUAGGACAUCAUAGAGGGUGAGAAUCCCGUAUUUGACCAGUUAUUUCCUAGCUUUGUGAUACACUUUCAAAGAGUCGGAUUGUUUGGGAAUGCAGUCCAAAAUGGGUGGUAAAUUUCAUCUAAAGCUAAAUAUUGGCGAGAGACCGAUAGCGAACAAGUACCGUGAGGGAAAGAUGAAAAGAACUUUGAAAAGAGAGUUAAACAGUACGUGAAAUUGUCAAAAGGGAAGCGUUUGACACCAGUGUUGUUUUCUCGAAAAUCAAUUAAAAAAGGCAGGAUUUUGUGUUGUAUUGACUUUAUCAGCUUUCUGCACUCUUUUCUUGUCUUUUUUUAAUGCACUUUUCGUUUAACAAGUCAACAUCAAUUUCUUUUGUUGUAAAAGGGUCAUUGGAAGGUGGCUUUCUUUUCGGAGAAAGUGUUUAUAGCCUUUGGCCUCUGCAAUCGGAGAGAUUGAGGUCUGCAGCGUAGAUCCUUCGGGGUUAGAUACAUUUGUGCUAAGUUAUAGUCCUUUCAUAGACAACUUGUUGACUAUAAUUCAUCUAUGUAGCUUACUCGCUUAUGCUAUUUUACCUACGCUUAGGAUGUUGAUCUACAGAGCGAGAGU
This 780-nucleotide ribosomal RNA is filed under the name uncultured Neocallimastigales. RNAcentral's name for it is "partial large subunit ribosomal RNA". It matches the Rfam family "Eukaryotic large subunit ribosomal RNA", at positions 18 to 625 of the family's 3401-position model. Lineage: Eukaryota; Fungi; Neocallimastigomycota; Neocallimastigomycetes; Neocallimastigales. The record is from RNAcentral.